RNAcentral lists this ribosomal RNA (469 nucleotides) under uncultured bacterium. RNAcentral describes it as "partial 16S ribosomal RNA". It matches the Rfam family "Bacterial small subunit ribosomal RNA", at positions 28 to 507 of the family's 1533-position model. The record is from RNAcentral.
GACGAACGCUGGCGGCGUGCUUAACACAUGCAAGUCGAACGGUGAAGCGAGUGCUUGCACUCGUGGAUCAGUGGCGAACGGGUGAGUAACACGUGAGUAACCUGCCCAUCACUCUGGGAUAAGCACUGGAAACGGUGUCUAAUACUGGAUACGACCAACCCUUGCAUGGGGUGUUGGUGGAAAGAUUUAUCGGUGAUGGAUGGACUCGCGGCCUAUCAGCUUGUUGGCGGGGUAAUGGCCCACCAAGGCGACGACGGGUAGCCGGCCUGAGAGGGUGACCGGCCACACUGGGACUGAGACACGGCCCAGACACCUACGGGAGGCAGCAGUGGGGAAUAUUGCACAAUGGGCGAAAGCCUGAUGCAGCGACGCCGCGUGAGGGAUGACGGCCUUCGGGUUGUAAACCUCUUUCAGCAGGGAAGAAGCGAAAGUGACGGUACCUGCAGAAGAAGCACCGGCUAACUACGUG